Molecule: long non-coding RNA, 6119 nt
Filed under: Malus domestica (apple)
Lineage: Eukaryota; Viridiplantae; Streptophyta; Magnoliopsida; Rosales; Rosaceae
Description: long non-coding RNA (MDOM_LNC002198)
Source: RNAcentral
UUCACUUUACUUUUUAUUUUGUCUUUAUCGUUAAAACUCAAAAUUUUCAAGUUAUUUUCAUUAGUUUUUAUUUUUUUAAUCAUUUCUUCAGCACCCCAAAUUGAGCAUGGGCCUGGACCCAAUAAUUUAAACUCGGGCCAACCCAUCGACAAGCACGAUACCGUUGUGCAAUAUGCAACAUUUUGGAUCUAUCACAUAUCACCAUAUAUAGAUGAUGAGUCAUCAAAACGUUUUUUAGGGCAAGUACGAUAUUCAUUAGUGCGAAAACUAUGUGUAUAUAUCGGAGGAUAGGGUGCAUAUCAAUGGGCCUCAAUAAAAAUUUUGCUAGGAAUUUCAACCCGAUCGAAGGAAAAAAGAACAUCCCGCAUCAAUCAAAUUACAUACUUGUACUAUCCUAAAAAGAACAAGAUCUGAAAUUACAUAUGGAGCUUCCUCAAACCAAAUAUGUUGUGAUGUUCUAAUGUCAAUCCCAAUUUUGCUAAUCUAUGAGCCACUUUGUUUGCCUCCCUGCAAGAAUAAGAAAGUUUCGUGUGGGGAUAGAACACAUAAAAAAGCGGGCAUCCUUCACAACGUGCCCCACUGAAGAAGGAUCAUCAGCCUCCUCCUCGCCCCCGUUCUUGCCUGCAAGCUAAGCAAACAAUUAAUGCAUCAACAACCAGUUUCCAGAAUAGAUGGCCAUAAGGCUCUAUUCUAACAGCCUCACAUAUGUCCUUAAAAGUGCCACUUUUCCCAGUUUAUAUUAAAUGAACCUCCUACUGAUUAGAAUUUGUACAUGAAGCACUACCAUGGUUCAGAGUUGUUACCAAGAAUCUAUCAUAUGAUGCCUGCUCCAACCAUCCUCCACCAGAAGUAAGCUACACCGUAUCAUCAAUUUCUCCACGGUAUCUUCCUCUAGAACAGUUAAUGAAUCAGAUGGUUGCCUCCGUGAUGGAUGACCCUGCAGUAUCCAGAUAAUAAAAAUCAAUUAUUAUUCAACCACAAAUAAAGUAACAGUUUGUUAGUCACUCAAAAUAGAAAUAGCACGUUAGAUCUCCCCAAUUUACAGAAAGAGUGAACUUGAACUUGCCACUACAGCACUUCAAAGUUAUAAGUAUCACAAGCAGACGAUAGUGCCUUACUAGCUCCGCUGUCAUACAUUUUGCCGGUUGACUAUUCCAACCAUCCAAUAUUCUGGCCUUCCAAUCUAUUGAUGAUCUAGUCUAUGUUGAGCAGCCUUAACAGAUGCAAGCUGAAAGCCACUGGAAAAACAGAAAGGAUCCUCACAUAUAUGCAUUUAACUUAGAUUAGUUUUAAGUAGAAACUACAUUCAUUUCGGACAAAGUACCUGUCUUCGUGCAGCCCUCGUUCCCCGCUUGAUCAUGCUGAAAUGGCCAGGAACGUGUCCCUCAAACUUCUUAAAAUCUGUAGAUACAGUAAACAUGAGACCAUACAUUGCUAAGAUUAAAGGCUUGGACUGUUCGCAGACCUUAUCCAAAGUUAACUAAAUAUGUAUGUAUAUACAAUUACAUAAAUACACGCACAGACACAAAUUACACAAGGAUGCAUACAUAUAAUUGAUAAUCUAUACUUCUACUCACUCUGAAUGCAAUAUCCAUACUUACAACCUCUCAAUCGAAAUCUAACGGUUGACGUCUACAUCCUGGUAGAGAGAACGUUUCUUUUUUGGAAAAUUAUCAGUUAUUGGAUGAAGGCUGGAGAACAAAAACAUUUGUACUCAUUGGUGAAAUGUAAAUCAUGAUUAGGAGGACCAGUAGAUAUGUACCAACUUAUAGGCAGGUUCAUAAUAUUCUGACUAUAUAUAUAAGUUACGUUCAAAAUACGAGGACCUGUAAUUAAUCUUGAAUGUAACAUAGAUUGCAUUGCCAUGACCAAAGAUAAAUUAGACACAGUGCUGAAUUACAAGAAUAAUCAAUUAACAAUGUACUACGGGCAAUUUGAUUGUCGUAAAAGGAGUGUUUGGAUGAGGGAUUUGAAAGUGCCGAGGGCUUUAGGCUAAAUUAGUUAAAAUUCACUACAAAAUAUUAGAUGGAAGGAUAUGAAAGACUAGAUGCAAUGCAUCGAGAAGGAUUUGUAAAUGACAGCUUGAAAGGAGACAUUUAAAAAUACUUUGUUUGUGUGCAAUGAUCAUGUAGUGCGUUUCAAUAUCUAUGUCUACUGCUUUGUAGAUGAAGUCCCUCAUCCAAACAGAGUGAGAGAACUAGGAGUUUUAGCAUACACAAGUCACAAGUCAUGUGUUAUCUGUCGACGUGAUAACAAAAGUCCCUCACCUCCACUAUAAGGGCUUGUGACAUCAUUAUGUGUGCAUUAUCAGAUUCAUUGCCCUUCUGUCUAUGAUAACCUCUGGGAAGACUAUGAAGACCCUGACAACAGAAUAUCUACGCAUCAAAAUCCAAAAAGCCCCAUAAGCGAAGCAUUUUCAAAAUUUCAGACUAUAUGAGCACAAGCAUUGCAGGUGAUCCGGAACGAUGUGUCAAAACCUGUUAGCGACGUCUACAUUAAACUCCUGAAAACAAUGGUCGUAUUGUAGGGUCCUCACGGAACAACCUUGAUAUAACAAACAAGUAAGGCAGACUGUGCUGCCCUUCAAUAGAAUACCAAGUAUCCUUACAUACAUGCAUCUAUCUUAGAUUAGUUUAUGUAGAAAGUAUAUUCAUUUUGGACAAAGUACCUGUCGAUUGAUCUAUCAAUAAAGUUAGCAGCAUGUGCUGCCCUUCAAGAACAAAUUCCCUGGUUGAUCCUGCUGAAAUGGCCAGAAUAAGUUACUUUCAAAAUACGAGGACCUGUAAAUAAUCUUGAAUGUAACAUAGAUCUAUCAAUUAAAAGGCAAAAGAAUACCUAAGUUACAAGACUAAUCAAUUAACAAUAUACCACAGGCAAUAUGAUUCUCUUAAACAUAAAGUUGGGAUGAGAGAUUUGAAAGUGUCAAGGGCUUAGGGCUAAAUUAGUUGGAGGGAUAUGAAAGACUAGAUGCAAUGCAUUAAGAGGGAUUUGUAAUGACUGCUUGAAAGGAGACAUUUAUAAAUACUUUGUUUAUGUGUGUAAUGAUCAUGUAGUGCAUUUUAAAUGUCUAUAUCCUUCAUCCAAACAUAGGGUGAGAGAACUAGGAGUUUUAGCAUACACAACUCACUGACAUAGGACAAUACAAAUUAAGGCAAAACAAACAGAUGUCAAAAUCCAAAAUGCCUUACUUCUUUGAGUCAUUAUGUGUGCAUUAUGCCCUUAUCAGACCCCUUGCUUUUUUGUUUAUGAAAACUCUGGGAAGACUAUGAAGAUCGUGAGGAAAGAAUAUCUCCGCAUAGAAAUCCAAAAAGCCCCAUAAGCGAAGCAUUUCCAAAUUUCUGAGUAUACGAGCACAAGCAUUGCAGGUGAUCCUGAACCAUGUGGCAAAACCUGUUUGCGAUGUCUACAUUAAACUCCUCAAAACAACGCCCGUAUUGUAGGAUUCUCACAGAACAACUUGAAAUAACCAAGAAGUAUGGCAGACUUCCAUAACGAGUGGAGAUAUAGAGCUCAUGGUUCAGAUUGAUGCCUUGCAUUGGUCCUUCGGAAACCCUGAAAUAAAAUUAGAAAAGGAAUCUUGUGACUUAUUGCUCUUUUCUUAAUUUAUUCAUAUUUGUCCAGCCAAUCAAAGUGGUAACAAGUUAGAAACCUUGAUUCUAAGUUCCAAAUGUAGAAUAUCAAAGUACCUUGAUUCUAAGCGAAGCAUUUUCAAAAUUUCAGACUAUAUGAGCACAAGCAUUGCAGGUAAUCCGGAACGAUGUGUCAAAACCUGUUAGCGACGUCUACAUUAAACUCCUGAAAACAAUGGUCGUAUUGUAGGGUCCUCACAGAACAACCUUGAUAUAACAAACAAGUAAGACAGAUUGUGCUGCCCUUCAAUAGAAUACCAAGUAUCCUUACAUAUAUGCACAUAUCUUAGAUUAGUUAAUGUAUAAAGUAUAUUCCUUUCGGACAAAGUACCUGUCGAUUGAUCUAUUAAUAAAGUUAGCAGCAUGUGCUGCCCUUCAAGAACAAAUUCCCUGGUUGAUCCUGCUGAAAUGGCCAGAAUAAGUUACUUUCAAAAUACGAGGACCUGUAAAUAAUCUUGAAUGUAACAUAGAUCUAUCAAUUAAAAGGCAAAAGAAUACCAAAGUUACAAGACUAAUCAAUUAACAAUAUACCACAGGCAAUAUGAUUCUCUUAAACGUAAAGUUGGGAUGAGAGAUUUGAAAGUGUCAAGGGCUUAAGGCUAAAUUAGUUGGAGGGAUAUGAAAUAAAAUUAGAAAAGGAAUCUUGUGACUUAUUGCUCUUUUCUUAAUUUAUUCAUAUUUGUCCAGCCAAUCAAAGUGGUAACAAGUUAGAAACCUUGAUUCUAAGUUCCAAAUGUAGAAUAUCAAAGCUCAUAAGAAUUAGAAACAAAGAGAAGAUUUCAGAGAGUUUUACCUUCACUGGUUUUCUCCAACUCCCAUUAUUUCCAUGUCAAAUGGGGAAAAAUCGUGUUUAAUCCUUUCUUCUCAUCGCUAUUGAAUGUCGAUGUCAACUCGAGCUCAACCCUUUUCCAUACCUCAUCUAGAAAAGAUGGUCCUGAUUCAAAGAUGAAGAAAUAAUGAUUUAUAAAGCGAUCUUAAUUACUUGUGCAAGUUUGACAAUCUGGACCUUUUCCUUUUGUUAUGAUUCACGCAUAUAAUCCAUCGACAAUGAUCAUGAAACAAGAAAAGAAAAGGAAACGUAAGUUACACUCCAGUAUUCAACAACUUACGAUGGAAUCUGUAAGAGUGCAGCAGCCAGCCAAAUUCACACGUUGUUUUUGUGCAGAAACAUAUCGGCACCUAUGUAAAGAUGACAGAUGCAAUGAAAGAUGAGUAAGCAUUCCACCGUAUUCAAACCACAACAGUAAGAGGAAAAAAAAAAACAUCAUCAAGGAGUUACCUCGUCCUGUGCAGGAGAAUCAUAUUGGUGUCAUAGCUAGCCAGAGCACCCAAUAACUUACUUGGAGUUACCUCGUCCUGUGCAGGAGUUACCUUGAUUGAUUCUCGUUUGAUUGCUUCAGUCCAAAUGCUAGAAAUAAAAUAAGGUGUUUAUGAGGAUUAAAGGGUGUGCAAAUAUCACUUCCCCAGAUUUAUGAUCCAACUAUUCGGAAGCUGGCCAGCUUCUCAAGAACGCUUUCUCCUCCGAAUCAGCAGUGCCAUACAGAGAGAAAUCCAAAGAAGGAAACGACUCCCAUAUAGGAGUUUUAUGCAGAAACUGGGGCAGCCUAAUACUGGCAACGUGGAUGCAAACCUACUUUCUCUUCUGAUGUCUAGAAACUUCAAUUAACCUCAGGACAUGAGCUCCAUGCUUUCUUCAAUGCUUUCACAAGGUCUAGAAGAUCUGCGUGUUUUCUUCGUUGCUUUCAGGAGUCUGGGGAACCUGCAAGUUCUCUUCAUUGUUUGCAAACCAAGUUCUGGAGGGCCUCUGGCUUCUCGCCCGUUCUUGCCUGCGAGCUAAGCAAAAAAAUUAAUGCAUCAACAACCAGUUUCCAGAAUGCAUGACCAUAAGGCUGUAUUCUAACAGCCUCACUUAUUUCCUGGCUAUAACAUAAGUCAAUAAUUUCCUUUCCGGAAUGAAAUAAACUUAAAAGUGCCACUUUUCCCAGUUUAUAUUUAAUGAACCUCCUCCUACUGUUUAGAAUUUGUACAUGAAGCGCUAUCAUGGUUCAGAGUUGUUACCAAGAAAAUUUCUAUCAUAUGACGCCUGCUCCAACCAUCCUCGACCAGAAGUGAGCUACACCGUAUCAUCAAUUUCUCCACAGCAUCUUCCUCUAGAACAGUUAAUGAAUCAAAUGGUUGCCUCCAUGAUGGACGACCCUGCAUCAUCCAGAUAAUAAUAAUACAUUAUUAUUCAACCACAAAUAAAGUAACAAUUUGUUAGUCACUCAAAAUAGAAAUAGCACGUUAGAUCUCCCCAAUUUACAGAAGGAGUGAACUUGAACUUGCCACUACAGCAUUUGAAAGUUAUAAGUAUCACAAGCAGACAAUAGCGCCUUACUAGCUCCGCUGUCGUACAUUUUGCCGGUUGACUAUUCCAACCAUCCAAUAUUCCGGCCUUCCAAUCUAUUGAUGAUCUAGUCUAUGUUGAGCAGCCUUAACAGAUGCAAGCUG